RNAcentral lists this ribosomal RNA (446 nucleotides) under uncultured bacterium. RNAcentral's name for it is "partial 16S ribosomal RNA". It matches the Rfam family "Bacterial small subunit ribosomal RNA", at positions 338 to 795 of the family's 1533-position model. The record is from RNAcentral.
CCUACGGGGGACAGCAGUCGAGAAUCAUUCACAAUGGGGGAAACCCUGAUGGUGCGACGCCGCGUGGGGGAAUGAAGGUCUUCGGAUUGUAAACCCCUGUCAUGUGGGAGCAAAUUAAAAAGAUAGUACCACAAGAGGAAGAGACGGCUAACUCGGUGCCAGCAGCCGCGGUAAUACAGAGGUCUCAAGCGUUGUUCGGAAUCACUGGGCGUAAAGCGUGCGUAGGCUGUUUCGUAAGUCGUGUGUGAAAGGCGCGGGCUCAACCCGCGGACGGCACAUGAUACUGCGAGACUAGAGUAAGGGAGGGGGAACCGGAAUUCGCGGUGUAGCAGUGAAAUGCGUAGAUAUCGAGAGGAACACUCGUGGCGAAGGCGGGUUCCUGGACAUUAACUGACGCUGAGGCACGAAGGCCAGGGGAGCGAAAGGGAUUAGAUACCCUGGUAGUC